GUGACUUUUUAUAUCAAGCUCCUUCUGCUGCUUCUAAACUCUCUUCAGAGAAAAAACUGCUUGAAGGAGCACUUUGGCUUUGGUCAAAGCGUGACAGCCAGAUGACAGUAGAAUGGCAGAGCAUUUUUAUCCUUUGAAUUAGAUGUUUUUGGUUCUUUCGACAAUUGGUUUUUGUCAUCCUUUACUCAGCCUAACCAAUAAUAAAUGUCAGAU
This 213-nucleotide small RNA is filed under the name Pan troglodytes (chimpanzee). RNAcentral describes it as "processed transcript". Lineage: Eukaryota; Metazoa; Chordata; Mammalia; Primates; Hominidae. The record is from RNAcentral.